This is a non-coding RNA of Oryzias latipes (Japanese medaka), 953 nucleotides long. NCBI's taxonomy places the organism in Eukaryota, Metazoa, Chordata, Actinopteri, Beloniformes, Adrianichthyidae. The record is from Rfam.
AAGCACAAAAGUUUGGUCCUGACUUUUCUAUCAACUCUAGCUAAACUUACACAUGCAAGUAUCCGCAGUCCCGUGAGAAUGCCCUACAGUUUCCUUAAUGGAAACAAGGAGCUGGUAUCAGGCACAAUAUAAUGCCCAUAACACCUUGCUUAGCCACACCCCCAAGGGAACUCAGCAGUGAUAGACAUUAAGCAAUAAGUGAAAACUUGACUUAAUUAAGGCUAAGAGAACCGGUUAAACUCGUGCCAGCCGCCGCGGUUAUACGAGGGGUUCAAGCUGAUAGAUAACGGCGUAAAGAGUGGUUAAUUUAAAAGAGAAGCUAAAGUGGAAUGUUUUCAAAGCUGUUAUACGCACCCGAAAAUAAGAAGACCAAGAACGAAAGUAACUUUAACUUUAUGAAUCCACGAAAACUAUGAAACAAACUGGGAUUAGAUACCCCACUAUGCAUAGCUGUAAACUUUGAUGAACUGUUACAUUAUCAUUCGCCAGGGUACUACGAGCACCAGCUUAAAACCCAAAGGACUUGGCGGUGCUUUAGACCCACCUAGAGGAGCCUGUUCUAGAACCGAUAACCCCCGUUAAACCUCACCCUCCCUUGUUCUUUCCGCCUAUAUACCGCCGUCGUCAGCUUACCCUGUGAAGGACAAAUAGUAAGCAAAACCAGUAACACUCAAAACGUCAGGUCGAGGUGUAGCAUAUGAGAGGGGAAGAAAUGGGCUACAUUCCUUGCUUCAAGGAAAACGGAUAGUAUAAUGAAACGUGUAUUAGAAGGAGGAUUUAGCAGUAAGCAGUAAAUAGAGAGUUCUGCUGAAACUGGCCCUGAAGCGCGCACACACCGCCCGUCACUCUCCCCAAAUCCAGUUUUAAACAUAAAUAAACCCUUCAAGGAAUAAAGGGGAGGCAAGUCGUAACAUGGUAAGUGUACCGGAAGGUGCACUUGGUAAAAUCAGAGU